Molecule: long non-coding RNA, 307 nt
Organism: Heterocephalus glaber (naked mole-rat)
Lineage: Eukaryota; Metazoa; Chordata; Mammalia; Rodentia; Bathyergidae
Source: Ensembl
GAAAUAUUUAUUGGGAGAGAGAAAGCUUCUGCCUAAGAGAGACAGAAGGGGGACCAGAAAGAGGGUUGCCUGUGCACUCCACUUUUCAAAGAUGUUUUAUACGGCAAAGCCAUGUGGUGAGGUAUUUGACUUUUAAAAAUAAAUUUGCAGGUUUAUUAUAAUCGACCUCGGACUUGGGCAGAUGAAGUAGCUGGCAUGAAUGCGGAGAGCUGGGCAAAAGAGAACUGUGCUGUCUCAUACUAGCAGUGAUAUAGUCCACUCUGGAAGUGAUCCCUGUACAGCCCCUCAACCCACUGGGCUGAAGUAC